RNAcentral lists this ribosomal RNA (400 nucleotides) under uncultured bacterium. Its description in RNAcentral is "bacterial SSU rRNA". It matches the Rfam family "Bacterial small subunit ribosomal RNA", at positions 355 to 746 of the family's 1533-position model. The record is from RNAcentral.
UGGGGAAUAUUGCGCAAUGGGCGAAAGCCUGACGCAGCAACGCCGCGUGAGCGAUGAAGGUCUUCGGAUCGUAAAGCUCUGUCGGUAGGAACGAGGGGUAGAUGUAUUAAUACUACGUUUACUUGACGGUACCUACAAAGGAAGCACCGGCUAACUCUGUGCCAGCAGCCGCGGUAAGACAGAGGGUGCAAGCGUUGUUCGGAAUCAUUGGGCGUAAAGGGCGCGUAGGCGGUUUAGUAAGUCGAAUGUGAAAGCCCAGGGCUCAACCUUGGAAGUGCAUCCGAAACUGCUAAACUCGAGUCCCGAAGAGGGUGGUGGAAUUCCCAGUGUAGAGGUGAAAUUCGUAGAUAUUGGGAGGAACACCAGUGGCGAAGGCGACCGCCUGGUCGGUGACUGACGC